AUGGCCUCCCAGCACAAAGUAAAGAUUUAAGUGUGUCCCAUAACACAGCACUCAGCCCAGUGUUCCUGACCAAUGUACCCACGUACACAGACUCUAAUUCUGAUGCAGACCUGACAGAUACGGAGCAUUUGUCUGUGACUCGGUGCAGAGCCAAGGUAAGAGCUUUAUAUCAAUGUAUUUGUGUGCUUUGAUUAAUGUAAGCAAAUGCAAACUGUUUAUUAUGUCAGCUCUCCUUGUGUUGCAAUGUCUUUCAACAUCAAAAUGAGAUUCUUUACAAUUCACAAGAAACAUUGACAUGCUCUAAAGCAGUGGCUUAGCAAAGGCCCAUUAAAGCGGGUCCCACCAGUUGAGAAUCACUGCUCUAAAUGCUCUCAACAGACAUCUUCUCCACCUAUAUUGUUUAUAUCACCAGGCUUGACUCCAUAGAUUUCUCUCUAGUUGCAUGAAUGGAAGCAUCUCAACUGUGUCCUCUGCGGACAUUGAGGUUGUGUGCUGACUGAUGAUUUCCUGCCCAUUCGUUUUUUCAGAAACUGUGCGAUGCAAUUUUCAGUCUUUGUUGUGUGUGUGAGAACACAACAAUAUAAACACAUUGUAGGCUUAAGAACUAAUUAUAACAGGGAAAUCCCUCAACCUCAAAUAUCUCACUUAGAGCUGAUGAUCAUCAUGAUCAGUUAUUUAAAUUCAUUUCUCAUACAGAAAUGUUGUGAAUGCAUUUCACAACACAAGGCGCAGUUUGUCUUAAGAGAAAAUGACUUUUCUUCUUCUUCCCUGUCAGUGUUUGUGGCGUCAAUCUACUCAGUCACUAUGUAGCGUGAGCAACAUGGAUGAUAAGUUUGUUGAGCAACUUGUUUGACAAGUUGUGAGUUGCUGGAGAUUCUGUAAAAUGUUUUUAUCUUUAUCCGUUCGGUAAAGCGUUUUAUCAAAGGCGUUGAGGGUUUGCAGACCGUCCUUGCCAUUGACACACUCUCAAAGAGUUUAUUUUCAUAUCAGGUCAGGCUGUUAUUGCAUGUAUGUGAUCACCUUAUUAGGAGCGCUGUAGAGCAAACACUUCUGUCAUAGGAUCUACUUUUAUUGGGCCGUAUCAUUUUUUUUGUGGUUAUUGGUUUUGUUGUCCUGGGAUACGUUAUAUAGCGUGUUGUUUACAUUAUUCAGUCAUGUAUGACGUAAACAGGGAGAACACAUAAUCAAAUGUAGUCCAGUACUCAUUUAAAAUAAUUUGAAUGUUUGUAGCGCAGCUUUCUCCUCUUGAACUGCAGAGACUGGACAGGUUUGCCUAAUAAAGAAGCCUUUGGGUGCCAGCUUGUUUUGUCUACGCAUACACUUAUUAACAUGUCCUAACCCAACAAGAAAAUGAAGUGGGCAUAACCUGGACCACAGUGACGGGCCUCUGACCACACCGUGCACUGUUAUCAGAAGCCUGAAAACCACCUACUCCACUGGUGCAAACAAGUUUUGCAAGCAAAAAUUGGCACCUCGUAUGAGAGGAACACAAGCUUCAACAUAUUUGAUGUAUAUAGGCCAUGUUUGUCCAAACUUUGGGAUUAGCAGUAUGCAAAUGUUGUUUUUAGAGAUGGAUAAAAAAUAAAAGCUAUUUACAGCCUUGCAGUUGAUGCAACUCAGAGAAGGUUUUUUGAGCAAAAGAUCAGGCGAUCACCAAAAUGAUUAAUCAUCCUCUGAGAAAUGUAAACAUCAAAAUCAAUUUCAAUGAAUGAGUAGGCCCAUGGUCAUCUGUUGGUUCCUUAAUUGUUUCUAAUGUUUAUUCUUUUUUACACUAGAACAACGAUGUGUUCCAAGAUAUUUAUGUGUCUGAUUGGAGCUGUGCAUAUAUACUUUCAGGUCCUUGCAGCGGUCGAAGAUCUCUACAUUGCCGAGCUGAUGGUGGAGAGUAAUGUUACUAUGGAGGCCGACCAGAUCCUUUCCAUUUUGAAUUCAACACAUGACAUCAAACUGUCUGACUUGACCACAGUGAUCCUCUCCCACAAUGAACUGGUUGCAGAGUGCCUGCUUAUUCGAAAUGAAUCCACCUGCAGCUGCAGUACCGGCUACAUUUGGAGCAACCCGGUGUGCAACCAAUUCAACUGUUGCCGGGAGGCUCCUUGUCCUCAAAAUGUGUCCCACAUCGUGCCACUCUGUGUUGCCAAAGUCAUGGUAAAUAUC
Long non-coding RNA from Gasterosteus aculeatus aculeatus (three-spined stickleback), 2157 nucleotides. The record is from Ensembl. Lineage: Eukaryota; Metazoa; Chordata; Actinopteri; Perciformes; Gasterosteidae.